UGGCCGAAUAUCUAAGGUUUCCAGGGUAAAGCUGAUCUGCCCUGGGUAAGUCGGGGCCUAAGGCAAGGCUGAGAAGCGUAGCUGAUGGACAACAGGUUUAGAUUCCUGUACCACAUGGUAUCAGAACUGUGGGGACGCAGAGGGAUAAGAUGACCGGGGGACAGAUUCCCGGGCAAGCGCAGGAGGUGUCAGGCAGGCAAAUCCGCCUGAUAAGCCAAAGACGUGACGCGGACCGAACUAAAGUAGGGAAGCAUCCGAUUCCAGCUGCCGAGAAAAGCCGCUAUUGUGUACCAUGUGCCCGUACCGUAAACCGACACAGGUGGAUGAGGAGAGAAUCCUAAGGCCGGCGGGAGAAGCAUUGUUAAGGAACUCGGCAAAAUGACCCCGUAACUUCGGGAGAAGGGGUGCCACAGAGAUGUGGCCGCAGAGAAUAGGCUCAAGCAACUGUUUAGCAAAAACACAGGUCUAUGCGAAACCGUAAGGUGAUGUAUAUGGGCUGACGCCUGCCCGGUGCUGGAAGGUUAAGAGGAGAGGUUAGAGCAAUCGAAGCUUUGAAUUGAAGCCCCAGUAAACGGCGGCCGUAACUAUAACGGUCCUAAGGUAGCGAAAUUCCUUGUCGGGUAAGUUCCGACCCGCACGAAAGGCGUAAUGAUUUGAGCGCUGUCUCGACAAUGCACCCGGUGAAAUUGAAAUACCAGUGAAGAUGCUGGUUACCUGCGCCAGGACGGAAAGACCCCAUGGAGCUUUACUCCAGCUUGAUACUGGGAUUCGGUAAUGCAUGCACAGGAUAGGUGGGAGGCUACGAGUAUGGAACUCCGGUUUCAUAUGAGCCGCUGUUGGGAUACCACCCUUGCGUUACUGGGUUUCUAACCAUGGUCCAUGAUCUGGAUCGGGGACAAUGUCAGGUGGGGAGUUUGACUGGGGCGGUCGCCUCCGAAAGGGUAUCGGAGGCGCUCAAAGGUUCCCUCAGAAUGGUUGGAAACCAUUCGAAGAGUGCAAAGGCAGAAGGGAGCUUGACUGCGACACCGACGGGUGGAGCAGGUAGGAAACUAGGACUUAGUGAUCCGGUGG
RNAcentral lists this ribosomal RNA (1071 nucleotides) under metagenome. Its description in RNAcentral is "bacterial LSU rRNA". It matches the Rfam family "Bacterial large subunit ribosomal RNA", at positions 1334 to 2426 of the family's 2925-position model. The record is from RNAcentral.